UGGGGAAUCUUAGACAAUGGGGGAAACCCUGAUCUAGCCAUGCCGCGUGAGCGAUGAAGGCCUUAGGGUUGUAAAGCUCUUUCAGCUGGGAAGAUAAUGACGGUACCAGCAGAAGAAGCCCCGGCUAACUCCGUGCCAGCAGCCGCGGUAAUACGGAGGGGGCUAGCGUUGUUCGGAAUUACUGGGCGUAAAGCGCACGUAGGCGGAUUAGUCAGUCAGAGGUGAAAUCCCAGGGCUCAACCCUGGAACUGCCUUUGAUACUGCUAGUCUUGAGGUCGAGAGAGGUGAGUGGAAUUCCGAGUGUAGAGGUGAAAUUCGUAGAUAUUCGGAGGAACACCAGUGGCGAAGGCGGCUCACUGGCUCGAUACUGACGCUGAGGUGCGAAAGCGUGGGGAGCAAAACAGGAUUAGAUACCCUGGUAGUCCACGCCGUAAACGAUGAAUGCCAGUCGUCGGGUUGCAUGCAAUUCGGUGACACACAUACGGAUUAAGCAUUCCGCCUGGGGAGUACGGUCGCAAGAUUAAAACUCAAAGGAAUUGACGGGGGUCAUAGCUGUUUCCUG
Molecule: ribosomal RNA, 562 nt
Filed under: uncultured bacterium
Lineage: Bacteria
Description: partial 16S ribosomal RNA
Rfam family: Bacterial small subunit ribosomal RNA
Source: RNAcentral